AUGCAAAGUAGGCAGGGGAGAUACCUUGAUCAGGAAGGUGGUUUUCCCAGGGCCAGGUUAGCCUUUGCACUCAGGGUGUGUUGCCCCCUGCGGAUUUCCCCAAAUGCUGGGAAACUCCACUGCUUAAUUUGUGGUAGUGGGGGCUGGGUUCACGGUCUCCCC
Perognathus longimembris pacificus (Pacific pocket mouse) is the source of this 162-nucleotide small nuclear RNA. RefSeq annotates it as U1 spliceosomal RNA. The record is from RefSeq and is a predicted model, not a curated record. The transcript has a single exon. Lineage: Eukaryota; Metazoa; Chordata; Mammalia; Rodentia; Heteromyidae.